Molecule: long non-coding RNA, 5174 nt
Organism: Felis catus (domestic cat)
Lineage: Eukaryota; Metazoa; Chordata; Mammalia; Carnivora; Felidae
Exons: 4
Source: RefSeq, a predicted model, not a curated record
GGCAGGACUGGAGGGGAGCCCGGGAGGCAGCAUUAAUUCCCGAGUCGUCUUUUCCACUGUAGCCAUCAGGGCUUUUAUCGACCCCCAACGCGUACCUGCGGGGGCAGCUUGAGUCCACCACACAAAGGGCUCACAGUACCAAAGUCUGGGCCCACCAAGCUCUGGCAUUUUGGUGACCCAUCAAGCUCUGCUUGCCUGGCAUCCCCCACAUAGGACGGUCGUCCUCUCUAGGACUUAGGAUCCCCGCAUCCCUCUGUGAGGCUGUCUGCCUUUCACUUCUUAAGGAAGGGCGGUAAAAUAGAUGUAACAUACAGCCUACCAUUUGAGCUGUUUUUGAGCGCACAGACAGGGCUGUUAAGUACGUGCCCAGUGUAUAAUCUAUCGAAAGAACCGUUCUCACUUUGCAAAACUGAAACCACGUAGCCAUUAAACAACAACUCCCCCAUCCUUCCUCCCCUGAGCUCCCGGCAACCGCGGUUCGAUUUUCUCUAAGAAUGUGAGCAUCUCCUGUAAGUGGAAUCAUACAGAGUUUGUCUUUUUGUGACUGGCCUAUUUUCGGUUAGCUUGAAGUCUUCAGGGUUCACCCAUGAUGUCGCCUGUGUCAGAAUUUCCUUCCUUUUUAAGGCUGAGUAAUAUUCCAUCGGGCGUAUAUUCCGUGAUGUUUAUCCGUUCGUCCUUCGAUGGGCGUGUGGGUUGCUUCUACCAUUUGGCUCACGUGAAUAGUAUUACUCUGAACAUGGGUGUGCAAACAUCUGUUCAAGAUCCUGCUUUCUGGAGUUCCUGAUUCUUCUGGGUGUACCCAGAAGUGGGUAUUGCUGGACCAUAUGCUAAUUCCACGUUUAAUUAUAGAAGGUCUUCUCUUGCACUUAGGUCUCAGGCACAGAGGGCUUUCUACUCAGGAAGGCGCCCCCAGUCAAGGCCAACCACCAAUGCACAACCAACUUUCUCAUUUAGGUGUCCCUGACAUUUGCAGGGCCCAGGGUAAGAGUGUACAUGGAGGGCCAAGGGCCAUGUAACUAAAUAUUUAAAAGUGAUAGACCAUAGCUAACAAUCUGCUAAAUAAUAAUUUUUUAUCUUGUACCUUGUCAAAUAUGUUGUCAUUAACAGUAAAAUUUAUGAAACUGUGGUGGUUAUAUGACUAAAAGUUGGCAAUAUAUCCAAGCCAACUGAAUUUAAUUAUGAUUGCUCAUGCCAGAAUGUUCUAUCGAUGGGCCGGAGGUACAUGUAACACAAAGAUGUACAUAAUUCACAAACAUUAGCUAUGGAUUCUCCAACAUUUAUUUUUUCUUAUCUUUGUUUCAGCAAAGUCACUAUUCUGUUAUGUUAGUGAUUUUUCAUACAGUUUGCGUUUUGCGGACGGUGAUGCUAUUUUAACAUUUCAGAUGUAUUUUCAUCACAAAGUCUAAUAAGUAAGGCUAAAAAUUCAAAAGUUAACAUUAUUUCCCCCAUUUUCAUAAGCUUCCUCCCUUAAACCCACCAUUAUUAAAAGCAAAAGGCAAAAGGACAGAUUACAAGGGAAGGGUGUAAAGGUUUCGGAACAGAAAUAAUUACUGAAAUUAGUAUCAAAAGUCAAAUAACAAUUAUUUACAACAUUGUAAAUAUCUUUUGUUGAAAAUCUAAUUACAUCUCACUCCACGUUGUUAUGUAAAAGUAAAAUGAUUUGCAUGUCUACUGUCCUCUGUCCAUCCCGUCCAGUUGCUAGCGUUGGGAAUCAGUACCCCUGAAUCAGUAAGAAGGUCUUUCUACUCCCCCAAACUUACAUUUGUAUAUUUAAGGGUAAGAUGGCUUGUUUAGUAUUAUAAAAUAUUCCUCGGCUGUCAUGUGUAACAGUUGGAAAACCCAUGCUAAUUUGUGAGUAGCUUUGGAACCACCGGUUGGAACACAAAGAGAAGAUACUUCGUUAUGCAAGAAUCUAUGGCAGUUAGGCAGUUUGAGAGGAAGUUUUUGACAAGCUAAUGGAUUUAUCUAAAGCUUCUUCCUCUCAAGUUCUCCCAGCACUUUGAAGCAGGGUCUGUUCAUGUUGGCGGUGUCACAAUCCACAGAUUGUGCUGGAACACAGUUGCCUUUGAGGGAGUGAGCAGGAUCGGAGAGAGGCACUUCCCUAGGGCUGGAGCGGAGUUGGGAGGGAGAGAGGAUAUUUGGAGUUGGGGCAGGAACCUCCAGCCCGGCUGUCCUGAGGCUGCUCCCAAUAUGGGCUUAGGCUACUGCCGCUUGCUUUUCUAAUUAGCAUAGUGACCAUGGGAAACGGGGAUUCUAUUACUGAAAUCACGGCUUGUUGAUUAGCUUGAUGAAUGCAAGGAAGGGCUUCCUGAUGAAAUUGUAGGUACUCCUACAACUGGAGUACUUCAGAGGCUCCCCGACUUGCAGGAACAGAGCCUAAGACCCUGGAUCCAUGGGAAUGGCUCCUGAGGCUGGAUUCUAGCACAGUCCUGUGGCCAGCCACGGGUCUGGAGGACUCCCGGAGCUGCCUGAUGCCAGCUACAAGGUGACAGGGCUGCCAUCACAAAGACCACAACUGGUGAAGUCACCAAAACAACAGGCCUUACUCUCUGACAGCCCCGGAGUCUACAAGUCUGAAACCAAGUAAUGCCGGGCACCAUUGUCCUCCCUUGAUGACCACAAUUGAUUCACCCAUUCUAUGGUCUCAAAGCAAGAGAGAAAGACACACACAAAGACGCACAACUGUGGAAGGGGCGGAGAGGCAAGGAGACACAGAACCCAAAGCAGGCUCCGGGCUCUGAGCUGUCAGCACAGAGCCCGACGCGGGGCUCGAACUCACAAGAUCACGACUUGAGCCAAAGUCAGACGCUCAACGGAUUAAGCCACCCAGGCGCCCUAAAGCUCAAGGUUGGUUUAAGGCAAGUAACUGGAAGUUAUGUUUACCACCUGGGCAUGUUUCGCUCUUGGCAAGACAGAUGUGAUUUUUUUUUUUUUCCUCUCCACCACCCUGGCUUCUUGCCUCCAUUACGUCUCUUCUUCCCCUUGGGACCCACCGCUGGACUGUUCACACUUUCCGGAGUCUGGGGUGGCUGCUGAAUGCAGCAGGUAAGAGCCUUGCAGGGGGUUGAGAGAGAGAAGACGGAAUCCCUUUCUUGGUCUCUUCAGAGUUAUUACAGACAGUGGGGUCAUUGGCUGCAGGGAAUGAAUUGAAUAUGAUGAGCCCAGAACUGCUAAGAAAUUACCCGUCCCGGGGCUUUCUGGAAAAGAGUGCUGCAGAUUGCUUUUCCGGUUUGCCGUUCUUUCUCUAGGGCUUUGGUCGGUGGGGCUGCCGAGGCGGUCGGUGUCCACGUGGUCACACACGGGUCACACACACGCAUAGAGUAUGGCUAGGCGAACACAUAACCCGCCACUUGUGGGUCGUUUAACUGAAGAAUCUACGUGUCAGGAUGUUCCCACUGCAAUUCUGAAGGCUGUGGCUGUUUUCUGAGGCUCUGGGUGUCUCUAGGAAGAGGACUGUUGAAUAUUCCAGAAUGUGUCUUUUAUUGGGAACGCGGUGAUUGCAAGCACGUGUGAUGUGGCUGUUCUUUUACCUGAUGAGAGGGCCUGAGAGAACAAAGACCUCAGGAGGUACGUGUGCGUUUGUUGUUCAAACUGAUGAAGCUGGUCCCCGACAUCCCGUCCUGUCCCGACGUUGGGCUGAAAUGCAGUCAUCCUGUGUGCGUCUUGACGUCUGCCCUGCACGUUCUUUUCCCAGUAAGACAGGCGGUUAUUGUUUUGUGAAAAUGCCCGAAACGUCCACAUUCUGAGGUACGUUCUCCGGCAGCGGGGGAAAUCUCUCCCAAUCUCAUUUGUUUGGAGCCCUCUGCCCAGUGCUUCCCCGUGAGCCCCAAAUGGUGCCUUGGCCUUCCCCUUGAUGGAUUCAUUGUUUUGAUUUAAGUCACUGUGGCAGAACAUCUGAAGUCAUCUGCAGCUGCUACGCUGAGAUUCAAAGAAGCAGUCAUUAACCCUUACAAAGAGCCACACGAAGGCACCGGGGCCUUCCCAAUAUUCUAUGUGUCAGUGACCACGGUGUGAGUCAGAUUUCUGUGUCGCAUUUAGCAUUCGUUUGGUAUUUGCAGAGGAGUUUUUAGCUCUCUCGCGCAUCCAGUAAACACACGUUUCUUAAACCCUUACAAGGUGCCAGGUAUGGACCACCCUAAAUAUGCCACUUUGGCAUACGGAUUAUUCUGAGCCGAAAGCGAUCGAGAAUCAGUGGAUGCAGGGGGAGUUCUCUUCUCUCCCCUUUUCUGCCUAAAGUUGGCACAGAUCUCCCCCAGUGAAGGUGUCCCCCCUCUCGCAUACCAGGAAGAGGAAAGCAACUUACCACCGGAGAGGAAGAGCUGGAAUGGAAAUAAAUCCGCAUAAGUAAACCUCACUCGAAUACCCUGUACCUUCCAAAAGUUCCCCUGUGUGUAUAUUUCCCAGUCACUUUCUCACAAUUUUUCAUCUCUUGGAGCCCAAACCCCCUUUCUGUAGCUAAUAUGGUAUGUAAGCCCCUGAGUCUCAUCACUUGAUUUUGAGUCUCUUUUUUGUGAACUCCCGUGCACAUAAAAUAUUGAGAAAAUGUGUAUCCCUUUCCUUCUGUGAAUGUGUAUUCCUUUCCUUCUGUCUUUUGUUAGUUAAUUUGCAAGCCUCCAUGUUAAGAACCUAAGAGGGUAGAGCAAAAGUUUUUCCUUCCUGACUCAGGCAAGGAAGUCGGGUCUUGUCCUUAGUCUCACUAAUCUCUAGGUGCCUUAAGGAUUUCCCCAGCUUUCGUGAAAACUUUUGGUUCAUGGGCACUGGGGAAGAAAUUCUGCUUCUGGAGAGGUGUUGGCAACGUGCAGUGCUGUUGCCUGAGCCUCAGACAGGCUUUUGGGUGGAAGGUUCAUUCACUCUCAGGUCCUUGGCCUCCAGAACACCGAGGGGGUAGGGCUGGGGACUUUGGCAUGGACAGUAAUGCCAUGAGGUAGUCCCUAUGGUGACCAGAGUCUCUCAUGCUGUUGGAGCAGGAUCCACCUUAGAUGUUUGGAGCAGGGACCCCAAGUAUUGGUCUUUUACAUUUAUAUGUUUGGAUAUCCUCAAGAGCUGUUGUUUUGUAGGCGAAAGGCAAUUCUGUAGUUAAUUUCAUCGUUAUAAAUUAACAUUUUAUUUGCUAGUAACAAAUUUCAAAAUCUAGAUCCUUUUUUUUUAAGUUUAUUUUGAGAGAGAGAGAGAGA